This 252-nucleotide ribosomal RNA is filed under the name uncultured bacterium. RNAcentral describes it as "partial 16S ribosomal RNA". It matches the Rfam family "Bacterial small subunit ribosomal RNA", at positions 524 to 776 of the family's 1533-position model. The record is from RNAcentral.
UACGUAGGGUGCAAGCGUUGCCCGGAUUUAUUGGGCGUAAAGGGCGCGCAGGCGGCUACGCACGUCCGUUGUGAAAUCGCUCGGCUCAACUGGGCGGGGUCAGCGGAUACGGCGUAGCUGGAGCAAGCUAGGGGGCAAUGGAAUUCCCGGUGUAGUGGUGAAUGCGUAGAUAUCGGGAGGAACACCAGUGGCGAAGGCGGUUGCCUGGAGCUUUGCUGACGCUGAGGCGCGAAAGCUAGGGGAGCGAACGGG